CCUGCUUCCAGGAAAAGCCUCUAAGCAUCAGGUAACAUCAAAUCGUACCCCAAACCGACACAGGUGGUCAGGUAGAGAAUACCAAGGCGCUUGAGAGAACUCGGGUGAAGGAACUAGGCAAAAUGGUGCCGUAACUUCGGGAGAAGGCACGCUGAUAUGUAGGUGAAGUCCCUCGCGGAUGGAGCUGAAAUCAGUCGAAGAUACCAGCUGGCUGCAACUGUUUAUUAAAAACACAGCACUGUGCAAACACGAAAGUGGACGUAUACGGUGUGACGCCUGCCCGGUGCCGGAAGGUUAAUUGAUGGGGUUAGCGCAAGCGAAGCUCUUGAUCGAAGCCCCGGUAAAC
RNAcentral lists this ribosomal RNA (346 nucleotides) under Escherichia coli. RNAcentral describes it as "partial 23S ribosomal RNA". It matches the Rfam family "Bacterial large subunit ribosomal RNA", at positions 1601 to 1928 of the family's 2925-position model. Lineage: Bacteria; Pseudomonadati; Pseudomonadota; Gammaproteobacteria; Enterobacterales; Enterobacteriaceae. The record is from RNAcentral.